AUAUCUCUCUGUACGGGAAGGAUGAGAAGCUUCGACCAAGGUUCGAUUCGAGCGCAGCGAGAAAGCGUUGCCGCAGGCAACGACCCGAAGGGCAAAGCGCGCAGCGCUGAGUCAUCCUUCCCCCACCACCA
Molecule: small RNA, 131 nt
Filed under: Salmonella enterica subsp. enterica serovar Typhimurium
Lineage: Bacteria; Pseudomonadati; Pseudomonadota; Gammaproteobacteria; Enterobacterales; Enterobacteriaceae
Description: RtT sRNA
Rfam family: RtT RNA
About the family: This family represents a bacterial cis-regulatory element known as RtT RNA. The exact function of RtT is unknown although it is thought that it may be involved in changing the cellular response in relation to amino acid starvation.
Source: RNAcentral